GGAAGCAAAGGCUCUGAGCAUAACAGAAAUGGGGAGUGAGAGACAGGAAACUAACAGUUAAUUAUGGUACAUAGUCACUACUUCAGGGUUAGUGGUUUCUCUUUGCUUCUCAUUGGCGCCAAAUAGCCUACAUCUCAAAUUACAAGACAGAAUCUUACUUGAAGAUGAAGCUCAUCGUAUAACCAGGAUCCAUGUCUGUUUCCUGAGCUCCAGCUAAGAUCAAGAGUCGUCACAAACAGGAAUGAUGAGAGGGGGCAGAGUGCCUGAAUUGCAAGCAUUUGGACAGACAACCCAACACAAAUAAUACCAGUCUA
This is a long non-coding RNA of Ornithorhynchus anatinus (platypus), 314 nucleotides long. RefSeq lists it as uncharacterized. NCBI's taxonomy places the organism in Eukaryota, Metazoa, Chordata, Mammalia, Monotremata, Ornithorhynchidae. The record is from RefSeq and is a predicted model, not a curated record. The transcript is spliced from 2 exons.